RNAcentral lists this ribosomal RNA (208 nucleotides) under uncultured bacterium. Its description in RNAcentral is "partial 16S ribosomal RNA". It matches the Rfam family "Bacterial small subunit ribosomal RNA", at positions 524 to 732 of the family's 1533-position model. The record is from RNAcentral.
UACGGAGGGUGCAAGCGUUGUCCGGAUUUAUUGGGUUUAAAGGGUGCGUAGGCGGCCGAUUAAGUCUGGGGUGAAAGCCCGUUGCUCAACAACGGAACUGCCCUGGAAACUGGUCGGCUUGAUACAGACGAGGGUGGCGGAAUGGAUGCUGUAGCGGUGAAAUGCAUAGAUAGCAUCCAGAACCCCCGAUUGCGAAGCAGCUGCCUAG